CAGCUCUCCGAGUGGUAGGGAUGAUUAUUGGGCCUAAAGCGUCCGUAGCCGGCUUAGCAAGUCUCCUGUUAAAUUCAGCGACCUAAUCGUUGAGCCGCGGGAGAUACUACUAGGCUAGGAGGCGGGAGAGGCCGACGGUACUUCCGGGGUAGGGGUGAAAUCCUAUAAUCCCGGGCGGACCACCAGUGGCGAAGGCUGUCGGCUAGAACGCGCUCGACGGUGAGGGACGAAAGCUGGGGGAGCGAACCGGAUUAGAUACCCGAGUAGUCC
This 270-nucleotide ribosomal RNA is filed under the name uncultured archaeon. RNAcentral describes it as "partial 16S ribosomal RNA". It matches the Rfam family "Archaeal small subunit ribosomal RNA", at positions 477 to 747 of the family's 1478-position model. The record is from RNAcentral.